This 3436-nucleotide long non-coding RNA is filed under the name Olea europaea subsp. europaea. The record is from RNAcentral. Lineage: Eukaryota; Viridiplantae; Streptophyta; Magnoliopsida; Lamiales; Oleaceae.
CACGAUAAAAGCACAAAUGAAAUAUAUUGGAAAUUGAACACGUAAUAAAUUGAAGGAAUACAUGCGAAGAAGAUCAAAAUAUACAAACUAGCAGCAAUUGAGUGAGCGAAUCUUUAAUGAUCUUACCCUCUCUCCCCUUCUACCCCUCUGCCAAAUCUUUUACCAACCGUAACAACAGAAAACACGAAAAUAUAAAUAAUUAAUAGGAUAGACAUUCAAUGCAUUGGGGGGAAUAUGCGGGAGUGGGGAGAAAUCACAGCCUCCUGCACAUACUUCUUAGAAUUAAUCGAAUCAGGAACCCAGUGUAUCUCACUCAUAUUUGGGGUCUCCACAAAAGUCAUAGUGAAUUCACCCACUUUCUCCACCUUCCCUCGUUUGCCCGCCCUCAAAACAAGAUUGUUCCGGUUGUAUGAAAAUAUGCCAUUGGCUAAAAGAAUAAUGUCACCGGGCUCAAAUGCAUCACACUCAUCACCCCACAACUGGAAGUGCACUGCUGCAGUCUCGUCUGCCACCAGUGCCAAACAUGUCUUGUGCUGCCCUUCUAAUGUUACCCUGUCUUUAUCCAAUACUAUGAAUUUGGUGUUUAUAUUGUUCUGUGCUGCUGGCACAAUGUCUUUCAAAGACUGUAAAGUUUCUUCGGGAUCCAUCUUACAUACUGAUCCUCCUGCAACGACAAGCAGAACAUUACUGACCGCUCUUGCUCUGAUACACACUCUUGUUCACUCACACACAUGCGCACACACAAAUAUGUGCAGCUGCCUGCUGAACUGAAGAUUGUACAAGAGUAACUGAUUUAAAGAUUAAUUUUUCGUUCAGACAUUUGAACAAACAGCUUGCAGGCAACCCCAUCACAACAUAUUUCUACAAAAUUAUUGAACAUAUACAUAAUCAAAUGCUCAUUUUUCCAUUUGUGUGCAUCAAGGAGAUCUUUACUGUGCAGUAUUAUACGAGAUUGAACUUUACCAUUGACAAAAAUUUAGUUUCCUUUAUUACCAUAAUUGUAUUCCAUGCAUUUAUCAAUCAUGGACAAAUUAAAAAAUAUAUAUGAAUUCAAAUACCCAAAAUUUUACCUCGACGGAAUGAAAAAUCAGCUGCAGAAUCUAUAGAAAAAUGGACUUGAGAAAGCUUUCUACUGGAGGAGUAAAUGCCCAUUCUUUAUUUUAAAUUUUAAAAUUGUCGCGGUUUGGUCCCAUGUAAAUAAAAGUAAUUAACAAAUAAAAAUAAAAAAAAUGUCAGCAUGUAAACGACGUCGCUUUAUCUAUUACAACAUUACUCCACAAAAGAGAAGGAAUUGUGUAAGCGGUGAUAGAUAUAAUCCAAUAAACAGAAAUUUUCCAGUGGUGACUGAUGUGAUUAUCGUACAUUAGAUCGUGAAGGAUAAGAUUAUAUGCAAUCUGAAUUGAAGCUUGAUUAUCACAAAAGAGAAUGGCUGGAGAGUUGAUAUUCAUCUGAAAAUCCUUUAGCUAUUGAUUAAUCCAAACAAUUUCACAGACGGUGGCAACUACAACUCAAUAUUCUUCUUUAGCUAAUGAUCUAGACAUGGUUGCCUGUCUUUUAGAUUUCCAAGAGAUCAUGGAAUCCCCAAUGAAGAUGCAAAAACCUGUUUUGGAUUUCCUUGUGUCAACACAAGAGCCCCAAUCUGCACCUGAGAAAGCUUGAAGUUUGAGAUGUGAACCAUUAUUGGCAUUAGAAGCUGAGAAAAUAUGCCUUGGCCAGGGCUUUUCGUUAGACAACGAAGCAAAUGAAAGGAAUUAGCUUGGCUUGUGGACUGCAUAAGUGAUAUUAGGUCUGGACAAUGUCAAAUAGAUUAACCUUCCAAUCAAUCUUCUGUAUUGGGAUGCAUCUGAUAAGAGAUCACCUUCAUGUAAACUGAGAUGUGACUUGGGAUCCAUAGGGUAUCAACUGGUUUGCAGUUUAGAUAGCCUGUAUCCUCAAGCAAUUGUAAAGCGUAAUGCCUUUGGGAAAUGACAAUACCAGCUGUAGAAUAGGCUAUUUCAAUCCCCAUAAAAUACUUAAAACACUCCCAAAUCCUUUAGCUUAAAUUGAGUGUGUAGGAAACCUUUUAACAAAUCUCUAGCUUAGAUACUAGGACCAGUGAUGACUGUCAUCCAUAUACACCAAUAAGGCUACAAAUUGAUUUCCCUGACCUUCGAUAAACAAGGAAUAAUCAGCUUUUGACUAGACAAAGCCAAAUUCAAUCAGUGCUUGGGAGAAUUUUGAGUUCCAUUAGCGUGAUGCCUGUUUGAGUCCAUAUAUGGACUUGUGUCGUUUGCACACCAAUCUCUCCAAAUGAUUCACGUUGUUGGGAACCUCAUAACCAAGAGACUAAUCCAUGUACACUUCCUUAAAUAAGUCCCUAUUCAAAAAUGCAUUGUUAACAUCCAAUUGCACCAAGUGCCAUUUGUUGUAUCCUAAAAGUGCCAAUUGUAAUUUGACAGUGACUAUCUUCGCCACUAGAGAGAGUAUCAAAAUAAUCAAGCCCUUUCUGUUGAGUGUAUCAUUUUGCAACUAAACAACUUUUACGUCUAUCAGUGGUUCCAUUUAAUUUAUACUUGAUCUUAUAUAUCCAUCGACAACCAACUGAAUGUUUACCAAUUGGCAAAGCAACCACAGACCAUGACUUAUUUUGCUCCAUGGCUUCCAACUCGAGCUUCAUGGCUGCACGCCAUUGAGGAUCAUUAACAACCUAAUGAUAGAACUGUGGUUCAUGGUGAGAUGAAACAUUUAGGACCAGAUGUCCGUAUAUAGGGGCUAAUUUUCCAUAGGAUGCAUACUGAUCAAUGUGAUAAGGCAAUUGCGGAGAUGGCUGGGAAUCUUGAGACAACAAGCUGCAAUAAAAAUCCUUAAGGUAUGUAGGAGGUCAAAUGACCCUCUGUGAUUUUUGAUUAUCAACAGUUGGAGGAACACUCAAUUGCUGAUCAUUGGAACGAUCAACUACAUCAUCAAUAUGUUGAAUUAUUGAAGACGAAGGUCCUGAGGCACUGAUGAUAUGGAGCUAUCAUGAUAUCUGUCACUGCUUUCUUAAUGAAAGGAUAGUGAAGGUACUAGCAGCACUAAAUCAAGAAAGGGAUCAACUAGGUGAUCAGCCUCCACCACUGUAUCAAAAGGGAAUAUGUCUUAUGGAUAACCACAUCCCAAGAUAAGAUGUGUUUAGAAGCUACAUCAUACAACUUAUAGCCUUUAACACCAGAGGGAUUUCCUAAGAAAACACAAAAUCGAGCUCUUGGCUGGAACUUGUUUCUGUGAGCAGUCAAGGUUGAAACAAAAGCCAAACAACCAAAUACCCUGAAUGAGGAGUAAUUUGCAGCUUUCUUAUAUAGGAUCUCAUAUGGUGUUUUGUGAUUCAAAAGUAGAGGUGGUGUUACAUUGAUCAAAAAAGUAGUUGCCAACAUACAGUCAGACCAGAAUUUGACAAGAACUUGUGAUUGAAAAUAUA